GUGACAGGAAAUACAGUGGUGUUGCUGCCACCACCCACUGUCGACCCCCUGUGCCAUACCGAGGAGGAACUUCUUCCUCCCCCUGAGCCUAGGGCCUCCACUUCAAGGCCAAGACAAAGACACAAGGUUGGAGCAGACAAUGUGAGGGCCCUGUAUAAAAGAACCCUGGAGCACGAUAUAGAGUAUAAGAGGCGUUUAAGUAAGGCUGUUUUUGAAAAAUGCUAUAAAAGUGAAUGAAACAUCCAAAUUCAAUUAAAGUAGUGAAAUGAUCAUUUAUUUAACUUGUGAAGAGCAUUGUACGGUACCAUACACGUUAUUUUUGGUUUGAAAUGUUUUGGUUGAAGGAAACCCAAAUUUCUGAUAUGGAAAUAAUUAGAAAAUGGGUCAAAGCAACCCAAGGACAACAGAAGGGGUUAAGGGGAGACACCCCACUGAAUAGGGAUAACAUAUCAACAUGACACUACAUAAAAGUACCCGUAGCGAAAUAACGCAAGACUAUGCAUACAGUCUGUGGGACUGUGAGCACACGGCUUCGAUGUGUCGCAUUGGCAACAUACGACUCAAGAAGUUGGCAAAGAUAAGUAAUUCCCUUGGGAAUCUAUAUCUUUCAUAAAGAUAAUCAUCAGGGAAUGCCAAAGGGUUUUGUCGGUCUCUAAAUGUUCUGCCUCUUCUGAGCGCACCUCUCACUAUCAGCGCACCAAGCUUCACAGAAUCCUCUAUGAACGGUGAAGCCAUUAUCCUCAAGAAUUGAGUUAGAGAGCGGGGCUUUUAUACCGGUUGAUCUCCGAUCUCCAACUUAACCUGCUCCUGACCAGGUUAGGCUUUCAGCAUGUGUUACCAUGGCGAUCUACCCCGGUAACAAGUGAUCUACCGUCGUGAUACAGAAAACUCCGGGUUGAACCUGAAGUUACCUCGUUACACCAAAUCUUGAUUCGUAGUACAGGCAACUGGUGUCGCUUUUAUGUAACCAACAUGUAGAUAAAUCUUGUCCAUGUUCACCAAAUUUGGCACAGAUGACCUUCAAACCAACCUAACAAAAGAUAUCGUAUGGAUUUUUUAUUUUCUAAACAAUUUUUCCAAUACAUCCAAUUGGCGCUUAGCCACCAAACAGGAAGUUGCUUUGUAUGCUCUUUGAUGCAUUUAUACCAAACUCGGUAAAUGUACUCUGAACCCAGUUCUGCAGAUUUCUAAAAGGUUUUUGUGUCAUUUGACUUGCGGGACUGCUUGGCCUCCUUUAUUGCAGCUGUAUUUGACAUGUAUCAUUGACAAAGCAAUGUCAACACUUGUUUAAAUAAACUAUAAUGAGUUGUGUUUGCAGGUAACAUUGUAACAUUGUAAACUACAUAUUAUGUCAAAAUCUCAAAUUCCUAUGGAAAGUUUCAUAAUGUAUCCAAUAAUUUAACAAUUUAGGGGAGAUCCUAGCA
Molecule: long non-coding RNA, 1424 nt
Organism: Osmerus eperlanus (European smelt)
Lineage: Eukaryota; Metazoa; Chordata; Actinopteri; Osmeriformes; Osmeridae
Exons: 3
Source: RefSeq, a predicted model, not a curated record